Molecule: non-coding RNA, 72 nt
Organism: Ornithorhynchus anatinus (platypus)
Lineage: Eukaryota; Metazoa; Chordata; Mammalia; Monotremata; Ornithorhynchidae
Source: Rfam
AGCAGCGUGGCUCAGUGGACAGAGCCCGGGUUUAGGAGUCAGAGGUCAUGGGUUCAAAUCCCAGCUCUGCCA